UACAGAGGUCCCAAGCGUUGUUCGGAUUCACUGGGCGUAAAGGGUGCGUAGGUGGUUGUGCAAGUCUGAUGUGAAAUCUCCGGGCUUAACCCGGAAAUGGCAUUGGAAACUGCAUGGCUAGAGGGUUGGAGGGGGGACUGGAAUACUUGGUGUAGCAGUGAAAUGCGUAGAUAUCAAGUGGAACACCAGUGGCGAAGGCGAGUCCCUGGACAACACCUGACACUGAGACACGAAAGCCAGGGGAGCGAACGGG
Molecule: ribosomal RNA, 253 nt
Filed under: uncultured bacterium
Lineage: Bacteria
Description: partial 16S ribosomal RNA
Rfam family: Bacterial small subunit ribosomal RNA
Source: RNAcentral